UAGGGAAUCUUCGGCAAUGGACGAAAGUCUGACCGAGCAACGCCGCGUGAGUGAAGAAGGUUUUCGGAUCGUAAAACUCUGUUGUUAGAGAAGAACAAGGACGUUAGUAACUGAACGUCCCCUGACGGUAUCUAACCAGAAAGCCACGGCUAACUACGUGCCAGCAGCCGCGGUAAUACGUAGGUGGCAAGCGUUGUCCGGAUUUAUUGGGCGUAAAGCGAGCGCAGGCGGUUUCUUAAGUCUGAUGUGAAAGCCCCCGGCUCAACCGGGGAGGGUCAUUGGAAACUGGGAGACUUGAGUGCAGAAGAGGAGAGUGGAAUUCCAUGUGUAGCGGUGAAAUGCGUAGAUAUAUGGAGGAACACCAGUGGCGAAGGCGGCUCUAUGGACUGUAACUGACGCUGAGGCUCGAAAGCGUGGGGAGCAAACAGG
RNAcentral lists this ribosomal RNA (429 nucleotides) under Gemmatimonadota bacterium. RNAcentral describes it as "Gemmatimonadetes bacterium partial 16S ribosomal RNA". It matches the Rfam family "Bacterial small subunit ribosomal RNA", at positions 355 to 776 of the family's 1533-position model. The record is from RNAcentral. Lineage: Bacteria; Pseudomonadati; Gemmatimonadota.